Molecule: ribosomal RNA, 253 nt
Filed under: uncultured bacterium
Lineage: Bacteria
Also listed under: 1 other name
Description: partial 16S ribosomal RNA
Rfam family: Bacterial small subunit ribosomal RNA
Source: RNAcentral
UACGAAGGGUGCAAGCGUUACUCGGAAUUACUGGGCGUAAAGCGUGCGUAGGUGGUUCGUUAAGUCUGAUGUGAAAGCCCUGGGCUCAACCUGGGAAUUGCAUUGGAAACUGGCGGGCUAGAGUACGGUAGAGGGUAGUGGAAUUCCUGGUGUAGCAGUGAAAUGCGUAGAGAUCAGGAGGAACAUCCGUGGCGAAGGCGACUACCUGGACCAGUACUGACACUGAGGCACGAAAGCGUGGGGAGCAAACAGG